UUUUUUUUUUUUUUUUUUUAGGUUUGUUUCUCAAUGUACUAGUUAAACGUGGUGAUCCCCAUCACUUUAGAAAUUUGGAAUUGCAAGGUUAACCCUCCAAGUAUUUAUAAUUUGGAGGUAGAAGAACCUCCGAAGUCAGGACUGGCUUUGUGACCUAACCCAAUGCCUCUCAAAUUUUCAUGCGUAUUGCAUUACCUGAAACCUUAUUAAAAUGCAAUAUCUGAUUCAGUAGUUCUGAGGCAGAUCCUGAGAGUAUGCAUUUUAAACAAGCUUCCAUGCUACUGGUCCACAGAUCACAUUUUGAGUAACAGGAUCUAAAUAGAAUUUCUUAUACAGGUUUCAUUAAAUUUCAAAAAUAUAAUACGCUUUUCUACACUACUAUAUUUUAUAUGAACACAUAAUUAAGGCAAAACAUUAACAGUAGUAUGUGCGUGCACGCACACACACAAACACAAGUGAUGCUGUUUAAUGCAAGAAAAAUGUAGAAAAAAGAUAUUAUUAUAUUACCUCUCCACUACUAACAAUUAUAAUUUGGUGCAUGGAUGCUUUGAGCUAUGAAAAAAGAUAUUCUCUCUAGUUAUCCUGGAUAAUAUAGAGGCCAAUAAUUGUUCAAAACUUGUGUGGUAAUUAAAACUACCAUAACUUUUCUAACCCUCUACCUGUUAAUUAAGUGUCUAAUUUCCGUAGGCUUCCUUUCCUCCCUGCUGGCCGGCUCUCACUUUUACUAUCAAAAAGCCUUCUCUCCAUUUUCACAAAGGUGAAAAUGAAUUUAUUCUCCAGGGAAUUAGGCACACAUACUACAGAAAUUUUCUCAUGUGUUGUAGACAUGAAUAUUCCAUGGUGAGUCUAAUUCAAUAUGGAAUAAGUAAUUUUUUUCUCUUCGAAGAAAAGGAUCACCUGUUACUUAAUAGUCAUCUUCUUAUGGCUGGCUUACAAAUUGUAUCCUCUGUCGUUUUGGAUACAUUUGUUUUACCUAGUUUUCUACUAAUUUACUAAUAGGAAUUAUAAUAAUUUAUAUAAUUAUAUAAAUUGUUAUAUAAAUUAUAAUUACUACUAAUUUGCUAUAGCACCUAAGAACUAUAUGCAGAGAUUUUAUUAAUUACAACAAUAAAACAGCUACUACUACCAUUUACUGAGUGCUCAUCUCAUGAAAAGUACUAUCAUUGUUCAUGCUUACAGAAUUCUAAAUAAGUAAGUAUAAUUGAGAACAUUAUACAGAUGAAGAAACAGAAGUUGAUAGACGUGAAAUCGCUUGGUUGGGGGUUACUUGAGCAGUAAAUGGUUCAAUUGAGGUUUGGAACCAGAUAAUUUUGGCUCCAUGAUCACAAAACAACCCUGCCUGUCUUUGAAAUUUGUUUCAUAUUAAUACAUAAUAGUUUUUCUCUUGAAGAAAGUAAUUAUAGCAAUCUUUAAAAUUGGGAGAUUCCAUCAAGUGAGAUCCAAGCAUAAGUAAAGGACAAGAGGAUCUUUUAAAAUGUUGAGUAUCCUCAGGGCAUAAAAAUAAGCCUUCUUAAGAUCAGAGAUCAUAAAAAAGAAUUUUUCAAAAACGCUUUUUAAAAAACACAAAACAAUUACUCUAACAAUUAGCUUAAGCUAGUCAAAUCUUACACAUAAACUAAGUGGCAAAGAGCAUCCAACCAAUUUAAUGAAUUCAUAAUACAGACCUUAGCAGAACUAAGAGCUCCUGGGUUUAGUUUAAGUUAACAUUGACUGGCUUAGCUCUGUGUUUGUUUUUCUGCAGUUUUUUUUUGCCCCAACAUGCCAUGAUCCUUAAUUUUAAUUCCUCCAAUGCUUGCCAUUUCCUUUGUAAAUCUUUUGGUAAGAACUUGAAAAUUAUACUUCCUAUCACUGGACUUCCUUUACUUUUGUAGUCCUCACUUCCACUCAUCUUCACAACUCCAGCCCACUCAUUCUGUGACCCCUACACUAUAAAAGUCAUCGAUGAGGGUGGGACAAACGUGAUUAGAACUAGAAUGACCUUUUUCAGAUAAAGUGAUAGGACAGUAAAAGAAGAAAUCUGAUUAGAUCCAUAGAAAUGCUUGAGAUGAGAAAAGAGAAGUCGUCAUAUGUAGGGAGGAAAAAUUAAGAAUGUCAGAGAAUUAAAAUAGAAAUGCAUUCUUUACAGAAUAUAGCUAUAAGUGACUAAAUUAUGGUGCAUCUUUUAAUGAGUCAGAACUUCUCAAUGUCAAGAUGUUUCAUGACAGAAUUGCAAUUUGCAUUGCAUUGUUCAAGUCACUGGUCUAACACUAAUGUCUGUGUUAGUAAAAUUAACUUCACUAAGUAGUAGCAUAAUGGCCUCAAAAAGACUUUGCAGGGCUCUUUCGUCUGGGCUACCACCAUGUCAUCCAAACUGAGGAGGACCCAGAAACUUCAGGGCCACAGGAGCCACAGCCACACCUGCAGAGACAAGCACCAGAACCACCCAGGAUACCUGGGUAAUGCUUGUGGCAUGCAUCACCACAGGACCAACUUCGACAAAUAUCACCCAGGUUGCUUUGGAAGAGUUGGAUGAGACAUUACCAGUUAAAGAGGAACCAGAGGGAUGCCUGGGUGGCUCAGUGGUUGAGCGUCUGCCUUUGGCUCAGGUCAUGAUCCUGGUCCAGGGAUGAGUCCCGCAGCAGGUUCCCUGCAGGGAGCCUGCUUCUCCCUUGCUUAUGUCUCCACCUCUCUCUGUGUGUCUCUCAUAAAUAAAUAAAUAAGAUCUUAAAAAAAAAAAAAAAAAAAAAAA
This 2728-nucleotide long non-coding RNA is filed under the name Canis lupus familiaris (dog). RNAcentral describes it as "lncRNA (ENSCAFG00000059422.1)". The record is from RNAcentral. Lineage: Eukaryota; Metazoa; Chordata; Mammalia; Carnivora; Canidae.